RNAcentral lists this ribosomal RNA (450 nucleotides) under uncultured bacterium. Its description in RNAcentral is "partial 16S ribosomal RNA". It matches the Rfam family "Bacterial small subunit ribosomal RNA", at positions 354 to 796 of the family's 1533-position model. The record is from RNAcentral.
GUGGGGAAUUUUGGACAAUGGGCGCAAGCCUGAUCCAGCAAUGCCGCGUGCAGGAAGAAGGCCUUCGGGUUGUAAACUGCUUUUGUACGGAACGAAACGGUCCUGGUUAAUACCCGGGGCUAAUGACGGUACCGUAAGAAUAAGCACCGGCUAACUACGUGCCAGCAGCCGCGGUAAUACGUAGGGUGCGAGCGUUAAUCGGAAUUACUGGGCGUAAAGCGUGCGCAGGCGGUGCUGUAAGACAGGCGUGAAAUCCCCGGGCUCAACCUGGGAAUUGCGCUUGUGACUGCAGUGCUGGAGUACGGCAGAGGGGGAUGGAAUUCCGCGUGUAGCAGUGAAAUGCGUAGAUAUGCGGAGGAACACCGAUGGCGAAGGCAGUCCCCUGGGCCUGUACUGACGCUCAUGCACGAAAGCGUGGGGAGCAAACAGGAUUAGAAACCCGGGUAGUCC